This 278-nucleotide long non-coding RNA is filed under the name Nicotiana benthamiana. Its description in RNAcentral is "long non-coding RNA (NBEN_LNC014681)". Lineage: Eukaryota; Viridiplantae; Streptophyta; Magnoliopsida; Solanales; Solanaceae. The record is from RNAcentral.
UAGAGAAGUUUGAAGAACUGAGAUCCCAAAUGUUGAUCCAGAAUCCUUCCCUCAGUGAUGCUUGUUUCCUAUCUAGUUUCAUAGAAUGAUUGAAGGCAGAAAUCGAACUCUAUGUCAAGGUGUUUAGAUCACAACUGUAGAGCAAGCUACAAACAAGAGAGAGCUCUAGAAGCUACGCUGAAGAGAUCCAAGUUCACAUCUACACCAACACGCACGACAAGAGCUCAUACAGCCGAAGGAAAGUAAGGAGCUUCAGCCAAUCCUAAGGUGAUUCCUUU